AGGAUUAACGCUGGCGGCGUGCCUAACACAUGCAAGUCGAACGAGGUAGCAAUACCUAGUGGCAGACGGGUGAGUAGCGCGUGGUCAACCUACCGUUGAGUGGGGGAUAACUAGCCGAAAGGUUAGCUAAUACCGCAUACGUCUCCGAGGGGCAUCCCUUGGCGAUAAAAGGAGCAAUCCGCUCGAUGACGGGACCGCGUCCCAUUAGCUAGUUGGUGGGGUAACGCCUACCAAGGCGUCGAUGGGUAGCUGGUUUGAGAGAGCGACCAGCCACACUGGGACUGAGAUACGGCCCAGACUCCUACGGGAGGCAGCAGUGAGGAAUUUUCCGCAAUGGGCGAAAGCCUGACGGAGCGACGCCGCGUGUGGGAAGAAGGCCUUCGGGUCGUAAACCACUGUCGAAGGGGAAGAUAAUGACGGUACCCUUGGAGGAAGCCCCGGCUAACUACGUGCCAGCAGCCGC
Molecule: ribosomal RNA, 463 nt
Filed under: uncultured bacterium
Lineage: Bacteria
Description: SSU rRNA
Rfam family: Bacterial small subunit ribosomal RNA
Source: RNAcentral